RNAcentral lists this ribosomal RNA (458 nucleotides) under uncultured Treponema sp. Its description in RNAcentral is "partial 16S ribosomal RNA". It matches the Rfam family "Bacterial small subunit ribosomal RNA", at positions 341 to 792 of the family's 1533-position model. The record is from RNAcentral. Lineage: Bacteria; Pseudomonadati; Spirochaetota; Spirochaetia; Treponematales; Treponemataceae.
ACGGGAGGCAGCAGCUAAGAAUAUUCCGCAAUGGGGGAAACCCUGACGGAGCGACGCCGCGUGGAUGAUGAAGGCCGGAAGGUUGUAAAAUCCUUUUAUGUGCGAGGAAUAAGGCGGGAGGCAAUGCCCGCGCGGUGACUGUAACACAUGAAUAAGCAACGGCUAAUUACGUGCCAGCAGCCGCGGUAACACGUAAGUUGCGAGCGUUGUUCGGAAUUAUUGGGCGUAAAGGGCAUGUAGGCGGUUCAGCAAGCUUGGUGUGAAAGCCCGGAGCUCAACUCCGGAACUGCAUUGAGAACUACUGAGCUAGAAUCACUAAGGGGGAACCGGAAUUCCAGGUGUAGGGGUGAAAUCUGUAGAUAUCUGGAAGAACACCAAUGGCGAAGGCAGGUUUCUAGUAGAUGAUUGACGCUGAGGUGCGAAGGUGCGGGGAGCAAACAGGAUUAGAUACCCUGGUA